GAUGAACGCUGGCGGCGUGCCUAAUACAUGCAAGUCGAGCGAACGGACGAGAAGCUUGCUUCUCUGAUGUUAGCGGCGGACGGGUGAGUAACACGUGGAUAACCUACCUAUAAGACUGGGAUAACUUCGGGAAACCGGAGCUAAUACCGGAUAAUAUUUUGAACCGCAUGGUUCAAAAGUGAAAGACGGUCUUGCUGUCACUAAUAGAUGGAUCCGCGCUGCAUUAGCUAGUUGGUAAGGUAACGGCUUACCAAGGCAACGAUGCAUAGCCGACCUGAGAGGGUGGUCGGCCACACUGGAACUGAGACACGGUCCAGACUCCUACGGGAGGCAGCAGUAGGGAAUCUUCCGCAAUGGGCGAAAGCCUGACGGAGCAACGCCGCGUGAGUGAUGAAGGUCUUCGGAUCGUAAAACUCUGUUAUUAGGGAAGAACAUAUGUGUAAGUAACUGUGCACAUCUUGACGGUACCUAAUCAGAAAGCCACGGCUAACUACGUG
RNAcentral lists this ribosomal RNA (497 nucleotides) under uncultured bacterium. RNAcentral's name for it is "partial 16S ribosomal RNA". It matches the Rfam family "Bacterial small subunit ribosomal RNA", at positions 28 to 507 of the family's 1533-position model. The record is from RNAcentral.